GCGCGCGCGUGAGCGAGCGGGACACAGUUCUUUGCAAACUUGGGGGAAAGGAGAGGGGAGCGUCGUUGUUGUUGCUGCUGCUGCAGCUGUCAAGAGGAAGAAAGGGAGAAGAAGGGAAGCCAAGGAGACAAAGGGCAGGGCGAGGCUUUGCAAGGAGGAAAAAAAAGGAGAGAGAGAGAGAGAGAGAGGUGGAGCCUGGAAUCCUUGGGGGAAAGCAGAAGGAAGGACAUGCAAGGAAAAGUUGCGCCAGGAUUGUAUUAUUUCAUUUCACUCCGCCAAAUGCUAAGAGAAGGAAGAAGCAACAAGAAGAAGUAAACCCAACUUCUCUUUGCUUGGACCAGGAAGGUGGAUUUCUGCCUCUGGGUGCAUCAACACUGUGGAAUUAACGCGGUUUGGCACAGCUUUAACUGCCCUGGCUCAAUGCCAUGGGAUCCUAGGAUUUGUAGUUUAGGGAGACGCCAGCACUCUUUGGCAGAGAAGGCUCAAGACCUUGGGAAACUACAACUCCCAGGAUGCCAUGACAUUCAAAGUGUUGUCAAACUGCAUUCCUGCAGUGUGGAUGCACCCCAGAGAAGACGCCGGAGAAGACGCUGAAGGGGAAAAGGGUCACGUUGGCAAACCUGACUAUUAUUGUUCCUUUGCUUUUAUUCCAGAGGGAGGACUAACCAUCCCACCCAAGCUCAGAGGACAUAAUGGGUGACACAGUGGCUUAGGUGUUGCAGCAGAAAAGGCAGGCACAUGCCAUCUGAUUGACUGGGAUUACUAUGGGCUGAAGCUUGACAACACUGAUCUAUUAAUGUAAGUGUCAUGGACUUGUUGCCCAUCCACCUUCAGAUGUUGAUGGCUUUUUCAUGUGAUGGUCUCCUCAAAGCUGCUCCUCCUCUAUUUUUGCCUACAGACAAAACUCUGGCUUUCCAAGAGGCAAAAUAACCUAUUGUUCCCUAGUGUGGUGAAUUUAUCUUCUUUAUUUUCUCCUUACAGCUGCUUAUGAGCUUUGGUACUUGGCUUGCAUUUGAUCCUGAAGAAUUCCAAGUGACAGGUAAUGUAAACAUCCUACACUCUCAGCUGUGUAGAUAAGAAGAAAGCUGGGAGAAGGCUGUUUACUCUCUCUGCCUUGGAAAGCAGCUGAAAGAAGAAAAAACAUGGAGAUCUUGCAAGCUCUUUUUAAACUCCUGUUCUAAACUGUAUUAAAAAUAUUAUUAUAUCUUUAAGAAAACUUUAAAAUAAUAAUAAUACACUUUAUUGAUAUUCCACUUUAACUCCCUGGAGGGACUCAGAGUGGAUUACAGUUUACACAUAUAUAAAGCAAACAUUCAGUGCCUUUUACAUGGUAAAAAAUGACAUGCAAUACACAGACAAAGGUGAAGGCCUCCCCAUUUCAUCUUAGUCAUCUGGAGGCGAUGGUCAACUCUGGCCAUGGGGAGGUGUUCUUUUUCCAUUUUUCCACGCUGAGAAGCCUGUUGUCCAUAGACAUCUCUAAUCGUAUUGCCAGCAUGUCUGCACCUUCCUGCUGAGGCGGUACUAAUUUAUCUACUCACAUUGCAUGCUUUCGAACUGCUAGGUUGGCAGAAGCUGGUGCUAACAGCGGGAGCUCACCUUUGAACUGUCAAUUCUCCAGUCAGCAGAUUUCCUGCAGCUAAUGGGUUAAUCUGCUGCACUACUGCAGCCCCACUGAAUGCGCAUUUUUAAACAAAUAUAACUGUAUGUGAAUAAAUGACAAGAGAAACAUCCUAAUCUUUUGCACCUGAUAAUCGGCCUUCUGAAAUGAACUAAAACUAAGGAGGAUGUAAAUUAAGGAAGAAAGUUCUCAACAGUUUUUACUGUUAUUUUGUUUGGGUACUAUUUUCUAUAUGCCAUUGACAGAAUCAUAAAUCAAAUUCUAAUUCAAAGUAGAGAACCCCUAUCGAAUCAAUGAGAACUUGGUAAAGCAACACAUUUGUAAAUUCCAUUAAUUAAUUGAACCAGCCCUGCUUUAGAGUAACAGUUUUAGAUUAAAUGAUAUAUUAUAGUUUGCAAAAACCACCCCACACUUAUGUAAUGAAUGUGGGAGAACGUUGUUUGUAGUUUUCUAGUAAGAGUAUAUUUGUAAAUAUAAUUCAUUUUUUAAAAAUUAUCUGUUAAUUUUUAUUUUAAAAAUGAUUUGUGAAACUAUUAUGUUGAAUCGUUUGUAACUCUUCUUGUUUAUAAAGCUGUGUGCUGAAGAUUUGAUGUUAUUUGCAUACCCUUUCAAGUUAGCAAUCUGAAAAUUUCUAUAAUAUUAGUUAUUUAUAAUUAAUGUAACUGUAAAUUAAUAAUUAUUCAGACUGAAACCAUUUACUUGUAAGACACUUGGUUACUUUUGUCUUUGGUUUGGCUUGAUAUGCCGUCUUUGAUAUGCUGUGAAGUUUUCCUUUGAAAUAAAAAAGUAAUUGUUUAA
Molecule: long non-coding RNA, 2416 nt
Organism: Anolis carolinensis (green anole)
Lineage: Eukaryota; Metazoa; Chordata; Lepidosauria; Squamata; Anolidae
Exons: 2
Source: RefSeq, a predicted model, not a curated record